RNAcentral lists this ribosomal RNA (253 nucleotides) under uncultured bacterium. RNAcentral describes it as "partial 16S ribosomal RNA". It matches the Rfam family "Bacterial small subunit ribosomal RNA", at positions 524 to 776 of the family's 1533-position model. The record is from RNAcentral.
AACGUAGGAGCCAAGCGUUAUCCGAAUUCACUGGGCGUAAAGCGCGUGCAGGCGGCUGGGUAAGUUGGAUGUGAAAUCUCCUGGCUCAACUGGGAGAGGCCGUUCAAUACUACCUGGCUUGAGGGCGACAGAGGGAGGUGGAAUUCCGGGUGUAGUGGUGAAAUGCGUAGAUAUCCGGAGGAACACCAGAGGCGAAGGCGGCAUCCUGGACCGGCAUUGACGCUGAGGAGCGAAAGCCAGGGGAGCAAACGGG